Molecule: ribosomal RNA, 400 nt
Filed under: uncultured bacterium
Lineage: Bacteria
Description: partial 16S ribosomal RNA
Rfam family: Bacterial small subunit ribosomal RNA
Source: RNAcentral
AAUAUUGCACAAUGGGCUCAAGCCUGAUGCAGCAACGCCGCGUGCGCGACGAAGGCCUUCGGGUCGUAAAGCGCUUUUCGGGGAGUUGAGCACGUACAGUAUCUCCGGAAGAAGGAUCGGCUAACUACGUUCCAUCAGCCGCGGUAAAACGUAGGAUCCGAGCGUUAUCCGAAUUCACUGGGCGUAAAGCGCAUGCAGGCGGCCGCACAAGUUGGAUGUGAAAUCUCCCGGCUCAACUGGGAGGGGACGUUCAAAACUGUGCGGCUCGAGGGCGGUAGAAGAAGGUAGAAUUCCCGGUGUAGUGGUGAAAUGCGUAGAUAUCGGGAGGAAUACCCGUGGCGAAGGCGACCUUCUGGACCGUUUCUGACGCUCAGAUGCGAAAGCUAGGGGAGCGAACGGG